RNAcentral lists this ribosomal RNA (568 nucleotides) under Purpureocillium lilacinum. RNAcentral describes it as "eukaryotic LSU rRNA". The stretch from base 189 to 342 matches the Rfam family "5.8S ribosomal RNA". Lineage: Eukaryota; Fungi; Ascomycota; Sordariomycetes; Hypocreales; Ophiocordycipitaceae. The record is from RNAcentral.
GAACGGAGCUAACACUCCAACCCACUGUGAACCUUACCUCAGUUGCCUCGGCGGGAACGCCCCGGCCGCCUGCCCCCGCGCCGGCGCCGGACCCAGGCGCCCGCCGCAGGGACCCCAAACUCUCUUGCAUUACGCCCAGCGGGCGGAAUUUCUUCUCUGAGUUGCACAAGCAAAAACAAAUGAAUCAAAACUUUCAACAACGGAUCUCUUGGUUCUGGCAUCGAUGAAGAACGCAGCGAAAUGCGAUAAGUAAUGUGAAUUGCAGAAUUCAGUGAAUCAUCGAAUCUUUGAACGCACAUUGCGCCCGCCAGCAUUCUGGCGGGCAUGCCUGUUCGAGCGUCAUUUCAACCCUCGAGCCCCCCCCGGGGGCCUCGGUGUUGGGGGACGGCACACCAGCCGCCCCCGAAAUGCAGUGGCGACCCCGCCGCAGCCUCCCCUGCGUAGUAGCACACACCUCGCACCGGAGCGCGGAGGCGGUCACGCCGUAAAACGCCCAACUUUCUUAGAGUUGACCUCGGAUCAGGUAGGAAUACCCGCUGAACUUAAGCAUAUCAAUAAGACGGAGGAA